This 497-nucleotide ribosomal RNA is filed under the name uncultured bacterium. Its description in RNAcentral is "partial 16S ribosomal RNA". It matches the Rfam family "Bacterial small subunit ribosomal RNA", at positions 28 to 507 of the family's 1533-position model. The record is from RNAcentral.
GAUGAACGCUGGCGGCGUGCCUAAUACAUGCAAGUCGAGCGAACAGACGAGGAGCUUGCUCCUUCGACGUUAGCGGCGGACGGGUGAGUAACACGUGGAUAACCUACCUAUAAGACUGGGAUAACUUCGGGAAACCGGAGCUAAUACCGGAUAAUAUUUCGAACCGCAUAGUUCGAUAGUGAAAGACGGCUUUGCUGUCACUUCUCGAUGGACCUGCGCCGGAUUAGCUAGUUGGUAAGGUAACGGGUUACCAAGGCAACGAUGCGUACGCGACCUGACAGGGUGAUCGGCCACACUGGAACUGAGACAGGGUCCAGACUCCUACGGGAGGGAGCAGUAUGGAAUCUUCCGCAAUGGGCGAAAGCCUGACGGAGCAACGCCGCGUGAGUGAUGAAGGCCUUCGGAUCGUAAAACUCUGUUAUGAGGGAAGAACAAACGUGGAAGUAACUGUGCACGUCUUGACGGUACCUAAUCAGAAAGCCACGGCUAACUACGUG